This 2149-nucleotide long non-coding RNA is filed under the name Capsicum annuum. RNAcentral's name for it is "long non-coding RNA (CANN_LNC001536)". The record is from RNAcentral. Lineage: Eukaryota; Viridiplantae; Streptophyta; Magnoliopsida; Solanales; Solanaceae.
UUCUUAGGGACUUGGGUCCAUUUCCUAAAGUGUAUACCAGCUGUAUAUUUAGAGCCUCAAUAUCUGCGUUUUCUUGUAUAUUGUUGCAUAUAUAGUGUAUAUCAGUUUCGAAAACUGCUUAUUUCCCCUCCACUUUUCAUCAUAAAUCGCGUGAUGAUGUGCAGCUGCUGUUUUACAGUGUAUAUCUACUGCAUACAAAUGUGUAUACCAGCCCCUAGGCAGAUUUUGAUGGAGAUUUUUGACUCGAUUAAGGAUGGUUUUGGUCCCGAGAAAAUGCAAGGGCGAUGGAGUCCAUUGAGACUCAAGUCGGUUCAUAUCACAUACAACAAGAGAAGAUAAAGAAUUAAUACAAGCCCCGGUGAAAAUGUACAACUAAUGAUGACAUCCAAUUAGGGUAAGUCAAUAAUUUUCACAAAUAAAUUUUCGAAACCAACAAAGUAGCAACUCAAAUAAUAUAUCACAAUCUUACUACAGAUUUACUAAUGCCAUAAAUUAAGAGAAAGAUAAAUACGUGACCAUCAAAUUUUGAUUAAUCACUUUAAUGAGAAAGAAAUAGCAAACAGAGACAAUGACGUGUUGUCUUCCCAUAAUCCACAUGAGCAAGUGUACAUAUAUUACUAAAUCUUUUGGCUAUCAGAAUUCUCUAUUUCUUAUCUAAUAUUCCCUCUGUUUCAUAAUAAAUGAAUUGUUAAAUUUUGACAUACAUAUUAAGAAAAAAAUAUUAAAGACAUAAAUUUAACACAACUUUUUAUUUUUAUUCAAAAAAGAAAAAGUUAAUCUUGUAAUAUCUUUUCAAAAGUUAAUUAGUUGUUAAAUUAUAAAUGCAAAUUUGGAAAAAAAUUCAACAAUUAACUUAUUUUGAAACACCAACAAUUAUCCUCAACAAUUCACUUAUUUCGAAACGGAGGGAGUACAACACUUCUCCGAUAAACCAAAAAAAUAACUUAUCCACCCAAACAAUUAUAUAUUUACCAAUAUUGUUUCACCUAAAAUAAGCUAAAGUUGCUAACUUUUCACACAAAAGGUAAAAUCUACCAAAAGUAAUGCAAAAAUUGAACUAACUGAAACAAACCCAGUUGGGAAAAAUCAAAAACUUGAGAAAAAACGAUUGAAUUUUCAAUUGUGUUUUUGUCAAAGAGUGACUGCGAUGACAACCAGUCAUCCACAAAGAGGAAAUUUAUGGACAGGACAGAUCCCGUAUCGUUUAAAUGAUUAUUCUUGCGCAAUGUUAUCGAGACACUAAUGCCAAACGAUACGAAAGAGGGAGCAGAAAACACAGUUUACUUUUCAACUCCAAAACUUCACUCAACGAUAUAAUUUCAUACAAAACCACCACAAUUUAUAGAAGAACAGAUUCUAAUGGCGAAACCUUUACACAAUCUUCAUUAUCCGAAACUAUUAUCCGACAACAACAAAUAUUCAAACCAUCAAUAGAAUUCCAUACUGUGACAUCCAAACACAAAACCAAAGACAAUGUAAAGAGAAGGGGUAUUCACCUUUUUUCGAGCAGCGAACUGGGAUUACGAGACUUUACGAUGAAGCUUCCAACACUAAAUUCGGAGUUUAAUUUUCGCCGGAAUCAAGCUCUUGAAUCCGUUUCUUCGAGAAUUUUUGGUUACAUAAGAUUAGAAGCACGCACUUCCCGAAUCCUCGAAUUCCUCCCCCCAAAAUUCCUCCCCUUUCUCUCUACAUACAUGGGUAUUUAUAGAAGACUUGGUACUGAUUUUGAGGGAAAAACAAAGGGGUAAAAAGGUAAAACGAAUUGAGAUUCAAAAUUGCAAAAUUUAAAAGAGUGUUUUACCUGGAAUUGGAUGAAAUGGGACGUUAUCUCUGAGCUGCAGCAGUUGUCGUUGAGAGUUGGGUUGUUGCUGUCGUCUGUUGCUGUUGAUAAUUGUUGUUGUAUGCUGUUAAGGGGUUAAGGGGAUUUGGAGGAUUGGGUCGGGUCGUGUCAAUGGGGCGGCUGGGCUGUUUGGGCUGUUGUCAUUGUUACUGUUGAUGAGAAGAAAUAAGGGUGAGGGUUGGGCUGGACCGGCAGGGUCAGUUUGAUGGGCCGCGUCUGGUGUAUUGGGCCUGUUGGGGGGACUGAUUCAGCUGGGCUGGUUUAAUUGGAAAAAUUUUAGAAAUAGCAACUCUGUAGCCUUAAUUAAAA